AAGAUCACUGCUCCCUCCGUCCCAUUUUAAGUGCAGUCAUAAUGUUCCGUGUCUAAUUUGGAUCGUUCGUCUUAUUAAAAAAAAUUUAAAAACAUAAGUCAAGCACGAAGUACUAUUUAUGUUUUAUCAUCCCAUAACAAUAAAAAUGCUAAUUAUAAAAAAAAAUUAAAUAAGAUGGACGAUUAAAGUUAGACACAGAAACUUAUGAUUGCACUUAAAAUGGGACGGAGGGAGUAAUAAUCAAGAUUUA
Molecule: unclassified non-coding RNA, 250 nt
Filed under: Oryza sativa (Asian cultivated rice)
Lineage: Eukaryota; Viridiplantae; Streptophyta; Magnoliopsida; Poales; Poaceae
Description: partial microRNA MIR486a precursor
Rfam family: MIR812 microRNA precursor family (bases 26-219)
Source: RNAcentral